GUAGGUUUGUAACAUCCGCAAAAAUCACCAACUUAAAUCACCCGUUAAAAAUCACUUUCAAAAUCCUUUUAUCGUUGAGCUCAUGGAAAUCUAAAAUCUUCCUGGUGAUUUCGCGGUCCUGGCACCCAAGUCGACAACCAUCAUUUUAUCCUCGCCCGUAAUUUUCGCCACGUGCUGGUCGACAGACCGCCGCGUGUGCUCCGACCGCAUCCGUAAUCGGCUCCCCCUUCUCUUUUUCUCUUUUUCCUCCCAUUUAUUUUUCCCUUUUUCUCUUUCUUUCUCUCUCUCUUUUUCCUUCCUUCUUCUACCUUCUUCCUCCUCCCUCCUUCUUCCUCCUCC
RNAcentral lists this long non-coding RNA (339 nucleotides) under Setaria viridis. RNAcentral describes it as "long non-coding RNA (SVIR_LNC004878)". The record is from RNAcentral. Lineage: Eukaryota; Viridiplantae; Streptophyta; Magnoliopsida; Poales; Poaceae.